This 253-nucleotide ribosomal RNA is filed under the name uncultured bacterium. Its description in RNAcentral is "partial 16S ribosomal RNA". It matches the Rfam family "Bacterial small subunit ribosomal RNA", at positions 524 to 776 of the family's 1533-position model. The record is from RNAcentral.
UACGUAGGGUGCGAGCGUUAAUCGGAAUUACUGGGCGUAAAGCGUGCGCAGGCGGUUUUGUAAGCCAGAUGUGAAAUCCCCGGGCUUAACCUGGGAAUGGCAUUUGGGACUGCAAGGCUUGAGUGCGGCAGAGGAGACUGGAAUUCCCGGUGUAGCAGUGAAAUGCGUAGAUAUCAGGAGGAACACCGGUGGCGAAGGCGGCUCUCUGGACGGAUACUGACGCUGAGGCGCGAAAGCGUGGGGAUCAAACAGG